Non-coding RNA from Xyrichtys novacula (pearly razorfish), 30320 nucleotides. The record is from the annotation of a GenBank genome assembly. Lineage: Eukaryota; Metazoa; Chordata; Actinopteri; Labriformes; Labridae.
UCAGCUUGCAGCUCCUCUUGACCUCAAGGUGGUUUUGUAGCACCAGUUUUCCUGUAUUGACUGUUCUCACUAUAGAAUUUAAGGAUCCUUAAACUUUGCUGGACGGUACAGAAGGAAUCCUGAGGUAAAGACGCAUUGCUACGCUGACACUUGCAGCAGCUCAGCUUGCAGCUCCUCUUAACCUUCUAAAAAAGCAUGAGACACUGAACUCAUCCUGAAACUUCUUUGCUGACUGAUUUUACUGUUUUGUUUAAAAUUUCAUGUUGAGAUCAGAGAUAACACAUUGAAUACUGACGUAAAGAGGCCUUGCCUAAAAGAGAUAAUACUUGCAGCAGCUCAGCUUGCAGCCUCUUCUGUGUCAAAGCACAUCAUAACGACUGAUUUUAAAAGUGAAACUCAUUCAUUUUUCACACACUCAAAAUUUAAGUCCCCCCAAAAUUUGCAUGCAGGAACACCAAAAGAAACUUGACAUAAAUGAGAUUAACUUAUAUUCGCAGCAGCUCAGCUUGCAGCUCCUCUUGACCUCCUGUGUGCAAGCAUGCUAUAAAGACACUUAGCUGAAUCUUCCACUUCAAAUCCACAAACAUGUUUUGAUCGGAGAUAACAGACCAAAUACCAACGUAAACAGGCCUUGCUUAAAAGAGAUGAGAUACCACUUGUAGCAGCUCAGCUUGCAGCCUCCUUGCAUUUCUGGACUUUUCUUAAUCCUGCCAGACAGUUUUAGUUUAAAUCAGUUUUAAGCGGUUAUUCUGGCUUCAUGAUUCUGCCUGAUUAUCUCACUAAUGUAUGCUCUAAAUUUACACUGUCACAAAAGUCCCCCUUUAAAAUAGUGUACCAGAAGACACCGGCACAGCGCUCACACACAUGUACCACCAUGAGCAGGAAUGUAAAAAUCAAUGUGGCAUAAUGAGGUUCAGGAGGUUACAUAAUCAACCCCUGAAACAAAAGAAACGAUGAGGUCUCGUCCGACACAAGCAACCAAAGAAAGGCGGCACAAACGGCCGAUCAUACGCCAAGACUCGCCUCAUUCCUUUAAUGUGACCGGGCUUAUCCGCCCCUGUGCAAACGUGCCCCUGCAGAAAUGAAGAUAACUCUAAAGACUGGAUAUGCAAACAAAAAAAAAAAAAAAAGAGGGAUCCCAGAUUAGUCAGUCAGGAAAUCUUUUGCGAUUUCCUUAUGCAGAUGAAAAACAGAGCACGCCCGGAAUAGAUGAGAUGUCUCUUUUGACACGAGAAUUGUUCCAAUUAUUGUUAUAAGCCCAGAAUUAGAAAGUCAAACAGAGCACUCAGUAGACUGAGAAAAGGCUGCAUACCAAGGGUGGGUGCGCACGCAUAAUGAUCGGCACGGACGAUACAUGCGAUCGUAAUGACACAUGCAAUCAGUCAAGCGUGGGUUUUAUCAUUAUUCAUAUAUUACAGCCUCAACACAGACCAUAAAGCCGGGUUUCAAAUGAGCUGUGGGAGGAAUCAACCUUAUUCAAGGGCACGUGUGCAGGGCAUGAAUGUGAGUACACACAAACACAAGCAUGGACUUGGAAAAUACAGAAUCUCCAACACUGUCUGAACACACAGUAAGCCCGCGACAAGUUCUUUUGUGUGUCUUGAGUGCUUGUGUAAACCUGGCGGCGUGCCUACGGUUCGUCGCCGCGCUCUGCUGUCACUGCGUACCAGCUGCCUUCUUCAGGGUGGUGAGGGAUCUUUAAUCACACACACACAAACAGUGUCUGGCAAAUUACUGCCUGCUGACUAGAAUUGAUAAACCAAUAGCCACAAGAACAGGGGAGCCAGAGCCAUUUGUUUGGAGGAGCCGCCUCGGUGGCGUUGGAGGGUUGUCAUGGUACCGAAAUUCAAAACUUCAAAACAACACUAUAAAAAAAAAAAAAACACUCAAUACUCAUUUUGAUUCCACAGCAAAAGUGCAUGUAGGCUUACUGUCUCCACACACCAAGUGUGAGUAAAAUCAUUCGCGCGAAUGAAUUACAUGUUAAGUCAAUGCAAAGACGCGAUUAGUCGCUUCUAUUUCUCUGGUGGCGCGAAUGACGCAAAUUGGGCAGGAGCUGAAAAUGUCUCAACUUGAGCUGACAGUCGUGUCGUGAUGACCAACCAGCACUAAGGUUGCCAGGUGACGUAUGACAGACGGUUGUUCACUGGUGUCGGUGUGUGGGUGCCCCGAAUUAUGUGAUACCUUUUCUUUCAAAUACCGAAACCGGAAUAAAAAGAAGCUCAUCUGGAGGCAAGUUAGCGAGCAGGUCGGAUUACGUUGUAAAUUGUAAAAAGCUUAUGUCUAUCACUUGAUCCCGCUGGUUGAAUUGGCAGGGAUUACCGUUGAAUUUACCGUUGAUGCGCGACUGAAGCGAGUAAAUACAAUUCAUUCAUGCGUCUAGAUUCGCGCGAAUGAAGCGAGUAGAUGACUUUAACUCGCGCUUGUUGUGGACGCUCCAUAACACGUCAGUUUGAUAUUGGUCAAUCAUCAUUUUUCGUUACUGAUACUACCACCCCAAGUCAAAACUUCAAUUUGGAGUUUAUGUUCGCUAAGGACCCUUUAUUUCACGAUGAAGAUGAGACGAUGACAAACCAAAAUAUAACACUGAAAACACAAACUCUGAUGAAAAACGUUUUAUUUCUCUGAUUAAAAAGAUGAUGUCGAACCCAAACUGUUUUCAGAGGACCGUCUUCCCCACAGCGUAUCUGGCCUUGUAUCUAGGGAUUACCUUUGAGAUUACUGUGCGAAUGAAGCGAAUAAAUACUAUUCAUUCACGCAUCUAGAUUCGCACGAAUUUAGCGAGUAGAUGAUUUUGGGUAUGGGUAUUUACAUAGUGCAACAAUUAAAAAGUUACAUACACCUCCUUUAAUCACUCUCAGCUCAAUCUCAUUUUCAGACAUUUUCUUUUCGAGUUUUAGCAGUUUAAAAAGUUUUCAAAGUUUGAAAUCACUGGAGCAGCAUCCUUAAACACACUAGAGAUGCUGGAUACAAAUAUUUAAGUAGCAACACAUCAGCCGAGGCUUUGAAGUUGUGUAGGAAAAACAAAUUUGUGGUUGAGAAAAACCUCCAGACCUCAUGUCAGUGUGUAAAAGCCGAAGAGAGAAGAACCUCAACUGAGCAGCAUCAUUUAUGACUGGCCUCUGGCCUCAAAUCCAUGAAGCUGAGAUCAGACAAAAGCAUGCAGAGCGUAAGGAAAAUACCCACGGUGCUGAUGGUGAGCGGUGGAGGCGGAGAAGGGAGAGGGUUCAGAGAUCACAGAUUUGGGAGUAAAGCGAGGCUGGGCUGGUGGUACGGUCGCUGCAGCAGCUGCAUGACCGUACCCGAAGAAAUGACACAAGGCCUCCCUGUCGGGGCAAAGACUGCAAACAAGAGUCUUGAGGAUUGAUCCUAAUGCACUAAUGAUGCUGCAGCUGUCAUGGACUUAUCACUCCUCGCUCUCCGGUGCUCUUUCCACUGCUGCAUACAGACGUAUCCCUCACGCUCCUUUGAACUCUCCUCAGACCUUUCUCUCUGCUUCUCGUCUCCUGUUUUUCCUCCGCUCUCUCAUUUAUUCUGACAUAUUCCACUCCGUGUCUCGUCUUUCUUUUUUCGACUACCUGGGGCUUUGAUUUACCUUUUCUCACAGGGGCCUGAUUUGAUCCUCUGAUGUUGCUCUAUGUGGUUUUUAAUCCUCCUUUCUUCCAAUACAGUUGGAAUUACAAUGCUAACAAAGCAGCUGAGCGUCAUUCUUUCCCCUCUUUCGAGAACGACACAUGUGCACACCUGCUGCUUUCUCUGCUCGAUAGACCCGUCCACAUCCCAGCUCUCUGUCCCUCCACCUGUCUACUCUCCUCAGAAGUUCCCCGCGCUAAUCUCACGCAGCAAAGCGGCGGCACAAGUCUCCAAAUGUCCAAUUGUUUACCACGGCCAAGCGUUUCACGCCCCUCACAGGGUCCAAUUUGUCUGGUGGCGCCUGAAGUCUGAGUGUUGUCGUCUGCCUCGGCUGCCUGCACGCCAUGCAAGAACUCAAGAUGGCAGCGCGCGUCGAGCAACAGAUUGGCAUUUUCCUGUGGCGAGGUGUUCUCACUUUGAUUCUCGAUGGCAGAUGUUGAGUGGCACCUUUUGGGAAGAAAGCCAGAAGAAACGACGUCUCUGCACCAAGGCGCAUCACUGCUGGCUGACAGUGACAUCUCAGACGCUGAUGUCAGAUCUGCUGUGGAGGUUUUUUUUCCGCCUAUAUUUCUGUUUAUGUUCCCGGUUUAUUCGCUGUAACCACAAUAUGGCAGAAAGAUGCCUGUACUUCAUUUCCAGCUAAUCUGCCAGACUGGAAAUGAAACGGAGCGACUGAGCAGCGAGGAGGAACAUGAAACAAAUGUCAAAGAAUCCCACAGUGUAAUUAGUACAGAGCAAUUACAGACAGAAUUCUCACUGAAAUUACAGAGAACUACAUUUACCACUAAUGUCAUGGACAUACUAUAUUCCUAAUCAUUGAUUAAAUAUGAAUAAUUAAUUCCAUUAAAACCAUUUCUUAUUUAAAUUCUGCUCCGAGCGUAGAGGAAGAACCAAUCAGGGUGUUUCGUUCGGUAAUCAAUUUCUGCAUAAAAAGAUUAUGAUCCCAGCAUUGCUUUAAUGUCACACUGCAGCCAUGACUCACAAAGACGCGCGAGUCUCUGCGCUGAAAUAUUCACCAGAGGGGACAUUUGUCCUGAUGCAAAGCUGAAGGUGGGAAGAUGAUGUUUUGGUAUUUGCUUGUUUUAGUUUGAGAAUCAAGUCAAUUUCACCACAACUGGAACUUGGAGUGAGCAAGAUAUGAUUUAUUUUCCAUAUUUGUCUCAUGUCUUUAAUGGAAUGUUGCCCCGACACUAAGAUGGCUGCCACGUAGGAACAUCCCUAAGUGGGCUGCUACAGCGUGCUGGCGUAUCUAGUCUUCUCUCUAUAUAUCUAGAUCUGUCCUAACGAGAGCCAAAGUCUCGCUCCAGGUCAACAACAAAAAAAUGAAUGAAACUUGAAACACAAGAUUUCCGAGCAUGUAUUUGAGCUUCCAUUUUCAUUUAGUCAAAAGAAAGUCAAAUACUGAUUUGUUUUUCAUUCUCCGAUCUCUACGACCAAAACGAAAAACGAAAAAAGGUUUGUUUUCCGUUUUCAUUCUGCGAUUCUAAUAGCCAAAAACGGAAAAAGCGUUUGUUUUCCGUUUUUUUUUUUCUCCAACUUUUAUGGCCAACACAAAAAACAGAAAAAGAUUGUUUUUCCAUUUUCAUUCUCCGAACAUUAUGACCAAAACAGAAAACAGAAAAGGUUCGGUUUCCGAUUUGAUUCUACGAUUGUUGUGGCCAAAACGAAAAACGGAGAAAGGUUUGUGUUCCAUUUUCAUUCUGCGAUUCUUAAGGCCAAAACGGAAGAAGAGUUUUGUUUUCUGUUUUCAUUAUCCGAUCUAAUGGCCGAAAUAAAAAAAUGGAAAAGGUUUUUAUUCCAUUUUCAUUCUGCGAUUCUUAAGGCCAAAACGGAAAAAAAAAGUUAAUUUUCCAUUUUCAUUGUCCAACUUUUAUGGCCAAAAUGAAAAACGGAAAAAGAUUUGUUUUCCGUUUUUCAUCUCCCGAUCCCUUACUGGUCGUCGGGAAACAGCUUUUCUUCCAAUUUUCAUUUUUUUCAUUUGAAACAAAAAUCUGUUGGCUACUAAGUACACAGACCGUCAACCACUCCCCCUUCUAGCAACCUGCUUCCAUACAGCUUACAAAGCUGAUUACCAUUCCUGACAGGGUACACAGCCAAUCACAGUUGAGGAUUUUAGGUCGGCCAAUCAGAUUUAAAGGGAGUUGAGUUUUAAACCCUGAUCCAGAACAGCGAACAUUCACACGUCAGUAAUCUUUAUUCUACAGGAGAGUUCAGUACCAAGCAGUAGUGGAAGAAAGAAGGUGGUUUAAGGCUAAAAAUAACUGUCGUCCAGAUCAUCUUGAGUGUCAGCUUCACCUGGAUUGCACUGUAACGGCGUUCGCGCUCCCCUGACUGAGCGUGCUGUCACCAGAAAAAGGCUGCCAAUUGAAUGUGGUGUACUGGAAUAAAUUACUGCAUUAAGACACAAGGUUGAGAGUCCGUCUACUUAAUGAAUUGAAAACAAUAAAACGGAGUAGUUGUGUCCUCGUUUUUCAUUGCUUGUGGGGCCAGUUGGGGACACAGCAGCACACCGCCUGGUAGGCUGAGCGUUCCCUGCUGAGGAUAUCAAUAAUGCUUCUCUUUUUAACCGAAGAAGCACUGGACGUACUUUAACAGAAUCCGGGUUUCCCUUCAGUGGCUCCAGAUGAAAUAUUUAGCGCUGAAUAUAUACAGGACAUUAAAUUGUAAAUCCUGGAGGGUUUCCAAUCAGCCUGUGAGGACAAAAUGAAAUGUUGAAAAAAGAGGGGGUGGGGGGGAUUGGUUGGUUGACAAAGAACAUGAAAACGUGCUGCAGGUCCUUUCACGGCAUCCAGGAGCGAGAAGUGCAGACUCAGAGGCCGACAUAAAGAACCGGAGAGCACAUAAGCGCUAUAGUCGCUGUGAGAUGUACUGCGAGCUGAGGAAAUCUGAGACAGUGACUCAGCCAUCUGAAUUCAUUAUCUGAUUUUAAUAAUCCUUUUAAAUAAAGACCUCCAGUCAUCCGACAUUUGAAACCCUUAUUAUAUGACGAUGUUUAAAUCAAACUGGAACAAAGACUCUUGUAGCUAAGACCUUUUUUCUUCUCGGCCGCGAGCUAAAUCUGCAACGACGGUAACGGUGACUGUGAGAGAUCCUUUUGUCAAAGAAUUGUAACUACCAGCUCCUCUCUGUUUAUUUGUCCAAGACCUUAUCAGGAACUUAAUAUGCAGUGUAAAACAAAAAAUGAAAUGUGCCAACAGCAAGGGACGGCUGAGAAGAGAGGGCUGUUUGCAGGAUCCUGUUUGAAUCGAUCAAAAAUGCAGAACCAUGAUAGCAGGAGCAGAACUCGACGGUCAAACUGAUUUUAAAAAACACGACAUCCCAGUGAGCGAGGCAGCAAUGCCGGUCGUGUAUUUUGUCUGGAUUUGAAACAUCUGUCUUUAAAAACCACUCAUAAAAUUAACAACCCUGAAAAUACCACAGAAUUCAGACCCUUUUUAGAGCGUUGGGCUUCUUUUAAUGGGACCGGUGCGACCAGUGUGCCACUAAAUGCAGAGAGAGGCGUUUUAUUGUGUUUUGGUAUUUCACCCAGAGGAUGAUGUUGGAGAGGAGAUGCUGGGUGGCCUACAUUGGCCAGCCUUGUAACACUUCCCUCCCUCGUUAGGUUUUAACCAUGCAUUCAGAGAAAACAGAGGUAUACUAUUACGUUAAAAAAAGUACUUUUGGACAGCUGAUUUAGCUGAAACCACUCAAGAGGAUGAGUAACCAACAGAAGUGGGCGAUUCAAGUUAGUAACAACUACCAGUGCAGCCUCUAUAGGGAUCAAGUACUAGCAAGGAGCUACGCGGUUGCACAGAAACUGCACAUUGCUUAUUUUGCUUGAAGUCGUGAAAAUCUACAGACAGAAAGACAGCAACAUUCAGGACACCCCAAAACAAACUCUAGUAUAUUCAGUGUUACCCGUACAUUCAUUCUGCUGCUGAAUUACAUGCGCCGCUACUGAAUUUUCACAUGUUCAUUUAUGCCACCACUACUGAUUUCUACUCACACUGUGUGAGAACAACAAUACACGUUAUUUUCAACUUGUUUUGAGUCUUUAACGAGCGCAUCAAAUCCUGUUUGACCCUCUUCUAUUAACGUGAAAGGUACCGUUCAAGCUUAUACACAGUCUAUAAAGUGAGUAGCGCGGGUAACGUCAUGUAACGUGAACGGAGUAGCGUAGCUCCAUGAGCGUGGGAGUAACGGUGAACCCCCCAAACACAGAAGCACUGCUGCAAAAAAAAAAAAUUCUAGUGGAAACACUGAUAUUGGUGCAACCUUUAUUGUGGAUUUGAAAGCUGUAUAAAAAAUUAAAUAAAAUCUAGUGUCCAGGCAAGUUCCAGCAAAGCAAUAUUUUGUUAAUGUUGCUACAUUCUGAUAUGCAGUUUGUAUAUCUUUUGUGGGCUGAAUAAACAAACUCAGAUGAGGGAAAAUUUCAACACUUUCAUUAGAGCUCUUAUGAGUUUUUUGACGUUUACAAAAUGGACUAAAAAUUAUUUUUCCUGUCUGUCCAUGAAAUCCAAAUGCAAACUAGACCAUUAGCUUCAAAAUUUAUAUUGUAUUAUAACCUGAUUUGUAAUGGCCAAAACCAGUGUGAGGGGGUAGGUGUCAGCCUGACUGCUAAAAAACAGUCUUUUCCACAUUAAGCUAAUACAAUAAUGAUGCUUUCCGUGAUUAGAAAUCAAUGGAAUGUUUUUGACAAGGCCAAACACUAACUACUUUCUCCACAGGGGGCGCAAAUCUGACUCAAACCAAAACUUCCUCGCAGGAGCUUUAAUGGAAAUGUCAAGUUCAGCUUUGGCUGUUCAGACUUUAGGAUUAUAAACUCAAAGUUGCUGCGAGGAACUAAAGUUUAGAUUGUGGCGCCUCCUGUGGACAAAAUAUGCAUCUCAUUUUUUUGGCUGAUACUUUUCUUUCUCCCCAUCAUGCCUCUUUAAUAUUCAGAAUAAAAUGAGGCCAAUUUGAAUUUGCAAAAUAAAAUUAGCAGCCUGCACAAAUAUGUGACCAAGGUUUUCCUGGAAAAACAGCGAUAGGGAGCCAAGUGAAGAAAAGGCUUCUAUAAAAUGGGACCUGGCGUGAAAUCCACUCGAGUCAUAAACACAAAUCCAAGAACACAAGAAUGGAUGAUGGGUAAAGGUGCCCAGGGGUCAGGUUUUAUUGCUUUGGUCCUGUUUAUGUAUUUGUUUCCCACUUGUGUUGUCUGUGUAGUUGUUGUUGAAUUUAUUUGAGGUAUAAUCAGAAAACCUAACAUGGGAUUCACUACAGUGAUCAUUAUUCAGACAAAUAAAGCGAAGAAAUAUUCAAAAGCUAAUAUAUUUUUUGAAAGCUCGGCACAUUAGAGAUGAUAACAUGGAUCUGGUGUGUGCGCAAACCUUUUCAAAUUUACAAUGGAAGUGGAGCAAAUAAAAAAAUUACAGUUUCGAGCAAUUCCACGGGGAUGAAUAGAGCUGAGUGAAAGCCCAUACUUUACAGGAAAGGAACCGAGCAGCAAAUGUCACGGCACUUUCUCUGUGAAAUGUGAAAUUAUUAAUGUUCGCAAUCUUUUUAAGAUUCAGAUUCUCCUUUCACCGCCAUGAAUGCGAGGAGCGGGAGCGCCAGACAAAACAGUGCAUCAGCGGACACAUUUUAUGGAAGGGCGAACUCGCCACGGCAGAGCUAAUCUGAAGCAGACAUAGUAUGAGGUCAACACCGGAUCCCUCGCACAAUAAACCCACUCUGUACUUCAUUAGUGUGGACUUCACGCUGCAGAAACUUCUCCAAAGAGCAUUUUAAGCCAAAACGAAAAUGAAGAAUUAUUGGUGUUGAUGCAGGAAGCUCCUCUGGCAGCCAUGCAGAGUCUCCCACUGUAGAAAAGCAUUUGGCGCUCAACCCUCGCAGACGGAUCAGGCGCGGCUGCACGCAGGAGCCCGCGCUCCCAACUCCCAGUCAAUUUGAUAUAUUAAACAAUUAUUGAAUAUGCCACCAAACAAAACCCAGUGACACAAAGAGCUGUGUAAAUCUCUGGCUGCUUCUCCUAAAUUAUGUAUGACUCCAUGAAUAAUUCAUAAAGAGGAAGUGGAAGAGGAAGAAGAAGAAGAAGACAGCGGCGAAGAAGAAAAAAGAGAGUUGAAAAUAAAACAAUGGCCUGUAAAUGGAAUAAAAGGAGUAAAAAUAAACGCUCCACAAAAAGGACGAGUUGCUGCUGUUUAGUUGAAGCUUGUGAACUUGGCAAAUGGGAAUGAGUCAGUCAAUUCAAAUUGAGUCGGCUGUCAUUCAUGGAUGAAUGGAGGCUUAUUAUGAUGAUAACAUUAUGGUGAAGGCCUGCACGCAUGACGGAUCAGCAGGCGGUGCAGUGGUACAGGACGAUAAUGUGAUUGGCAAACAAAAAGCAAAGAGGAGUGAGAGUGUUAGUGUGUAAGAGUGGAUGUCUGAUUGUGUGUGUAGUGGUGGACAUUGAUUGAUAUUUGUAUGGCGGCGCUCGGCUGUCCAUUUAAUGUGCUGCUCUGUCUCAUACACAUUACGUUUGAAUAUGAAUGAGUCCUUCUGAGAUCACCGCGUUGGAUUUUACUCAUCAAAACUGCUUUUAGAAGAAACGGAACAUGACAUUGGUGGUGUGAGACUCUUUCUCAGUCACUCCAGCCAGAAGUGAAGGGUUCGAUCUUAGCUCCCACAGUCACAUACCUUAAGAUAAUGAACCCCAACUGGGAGUCUUCUCUAAUCUCUGCUCUACCAUCACUUUCCCAAAUCGUACCUACCCAUGCCUGAUCUACCCCAUCAUACCCUACCUUAAUCUACCCCAGCCCACCCUACUUAACCCCAAACUCUACCCUGAUCUACCCAAAAUUCUCUACCCUACUGCCCAAUCUUACACUCAUAAACUCUACCUUACCCUACCUUACCCCUUUACCUACACUGAUCUAUCCUCCCUUUUCUCCAACCUCCUCUACCCUACCCUAAUUAGCCUCAUCCUAUCGUUAUCUACCUAAUCCUACCCUCUAAACCUAAUCUAGCGUUACUACUUCCGGCCUACCCAUAUCUAUCCUGCCCUACAUUGUAAUACCCUACCCCAAGUAACUUAACCCCCACUGUACCCAGCUCUGCCCUACCCUUCUCUGAUCUACCCUACCCUACCAAACCCCAAGCAUUCCCUGAUCUACCCUACUCUACCUUGAACUUCCUUACCCAACUCUGAUCUAAUCCAACCCCUUUUCUACCUACCCUACCCUAACCACCAGCUUCUCCUGAGCUACACUACCCUACCCUGAUCUUCCUGUACAAUCUCUGACUACCCUACCCUACCUAACCCUGACUCUACCCUUAUCUAACCAACUUUAUCUUAUUCCCCACUCUCACGCGAUCUACCUGACCCAACUUCUCCCCUUACCAUCGUCUACCCUACCUAACUCCACAUUCUACCCUUGACUCUCUGACCCUACUCUACUCUACCUUUUCCCUACCCUUUUCUUUUCUACCCAACCUCUCCACCACCUGACACCACUUUUCUUCACCCUGCCAAGUCUGUUUUUAAACAAAUAAAGAAAAAGAAAGAAAAGAAAAAUCAUUCCACCAAAAAUUAUAUGCUGUCACAAAUGAGCAUAAAAUUUAAGACAUUUUUGGUUGGCGGGGCAACACAAUGCAAAAAUCUUUUUGUUACAAGUAAGGGAAGUAAACACGAGCUAAGUAUUGCAAUUACAGCCUUUCUGAAGUCUCCUCAGACCUGAGUGACUUCUAUGUCAAACUAAUAAUCCGAAGGUUACCUAAAGUGACCUAAUAUUUCAGUUUCCCAAACGUAGAAAAUAGUGCAGAGCCCGAGAGAAGAGAAACGCCUUGUCACUCUGCACACGUCGGACUCGCGGUUUCUAAACAUGACUGUGGACCAGGUCUGAUUACAGGCUGUAGUUAUUGCAACCCAGGUGCUCCAGGCUGCAUGGGUUAGCCGAGCUGUCACCAGCCCCCUGCCUCACUAGCAACAGUGUUUUACAUAUAGAUUGAAUUACCUGGAACAUUUCUGCUGUAUGUAAAUGACCAUUAUGCUAAUAGUGUGCAAAAACUCACGUUCAAGACACGGGACGGUAGUUUCUUGUGUGUGAGUGUGUGUGUCGGUGUCCCUGUUUUGGAGUUGUGGCUCUGGAACACCCCAAGGGCAGAAUUGAGACGGCUAAAACUGAGACUAAUCUGCUAAGACUGCAUCAAAAUCCAACUUUAAAGGCGAAAAAUGAAAAAAAAGCUUGGAUGUGGGACACCUCUUUGUGACCCCGCGGAGACAGUAAGAUGGAUUCCAGACAUACAGACUAACAACAGCUUAGCCUCAAACAUAACAGUGAAGGGAGAUGAGAUCAUGACACACGCGGGACCCCUGAGAAUGAACAGGUGCAGAAUACAAGGACAGAUGACAGCUGCAGAAGUGUGACUGACGAAGAAUGUGGCCUGCGAGAGGCUGCGGGGAGAAGAGAAAGAGGUAAAUUAACUCAGAAUGAGAGAUAUAUGGUAUAAAAUAUGAUUAGCUCAUGCAGAAUAGAAGAAAAGGUGCGGAGAGAAGUGAGGAAAAUCUCACCGGUCUGCUGAGAAGGUCAGAGGUGUCACAUUGUAAUGCUAUGAGCAAGAAGCAAAAGAAGAGAAGUGAUGUAUGCAUGCUUUACAAUCUGAAUGUCAUGGUCAUCCAGAUUCAGCCUGCAGAGAGGAGACAAAAGGAGCAGAAACAGUGUGCUCGAGCUCCAGUAAGAAAAAGGGAAACGGUGAUCAUUAGCUGAAUGCCAGGCCUUGGCUAAUGAGGGGCGAACUGGAGCGAGGAGCACAGCGCUGGGGAGCUGAGGUAGCUUUUACUGAGCAAUUCUGGGAGCAAGGGCCGCCACGUCCCUGCUGCCUGCUAUUCUGGUCUGAUUGGAGUGGUCUGAAGCAAACCAGCAAGCUCAUUGUGCCGGGUGAGGCGAAGGAGAAGAAGAAGAAGGGGGGGGAGCUGAGAGAGAUGGAAGACCACAAAAGAGAUGCUUGUGCCCACAGGGGAUCAGGUUGCAAGGCUGAGGGUCAUCAUCUCUGGCCUCCUUCUUUGCCGGCUGCAUUCCUCCGGCCGGGCUAAUUCAAAGCACAUCUGUUGCCGUUGUUUCCACAGUUCGACAGCCCUCGGCACUCCUCCGGCUGCUUGUUUCUCUGCAUCCCCUCACUCCUUUGUUGUCCGUCUUUUGGAUUCGUGUUUGUAACGUCUCUUUGAAUGUUCCCCUUACUGGACUGAAAGUCUUUUGGGACUCAGAACCAAGGUCACGAUAAGAUUUCAGAAAUAAUGUAACAGGAUAAAUCCAGACAUUAACGUUACGUUGUCAGUCAGCAGAUAAAGGCUUUUUCUUGGUAUUUUCAAUUUACAUCUAAUAAUUUUCAGCUUUUUCUCCGACAUUUACAUCAUUAUUAAUAAAUAGGAUCUAUUUGUUAAUUCAUGGCCGCUUCUUGCAAAAGUCUAGCCUUUGGCCCGGACUACACGUAUAUAGAUAUUUAUCAGGACAGAACUCAAUCCUAUCUGGUAGAAUACCCUGUAUGUCCGCCAUCGUUGUUGUUGUUUUACUUUUUAAUUCCCAUGCGCGAGCUGCGGGUUGACGUCAUCGAUCUGUAAAAGUUCAACCACACGAAUCCACUUAUACGGAUAUUUUUUUAUUUCUCCACUUGUUUUUUUAGAUUCAGAUUUUUAUCUGGUUUGAGUGUUCCAAACUCCUGUUUUGGUGUGGUAGGGAGGCCGAAUCGGACAUAAAUAUGAGCGGUUUAAAAUAUAUCCACAUUCAGGUAGUUUUCAACUUUUUUCUCAUAAUAUUACAACUUUUGAGUAUUUCCUCCUUUUUAUCUUAACUGUACGACUAUACCGUACCUCUAAUUUACAACUUUUUUCAUAUCUACUUCUUUUUUAAUAAACUUACCACUAUUCUUAUGUUUACUUCUUUAUUCCAAUUUAUGAGUUUUUGUACGACUUGCACUUUUUUCUUCACAACUGAUGUUUUCCCCAUUUUUUUAAGGGUAUUACUGUUUUUAUCCUCUGGCUUUUACACUUGUGAAAUUUAAAUUCCUUCUCUUUACUCGUCGUAUUCAUGUUUCGUUGUGUAGUAUAAUGAACUUUUCUCUAAGUAACCUCUUUUUUUUCAUGUAACACUCCAUUUUAAUCUUUAUUUCCCUCAGUCCUCCAUCGCAGUCUACUUUUUCAUGUCUUUCCUGUUUAUCUGCCUCCCCGUUACUCCCCGUCUUCUUUUCAGCAGUAUCUUAUGCAAAAUAACUGUUUUCUUGUAUGCAUUUUUUCAUCCACCCCCUCAGUCUCUCUUUGUUUGUUUAUUUUGUGUCCCUAUAUGCUGACGACUAAUGGCUCUAUUUGCAUAUAAACUUCUAUUCAUGUGUCCUUGAAGACGUCGCCUGGUUUUGGCCACCCCCCCUUUUGCCAUUUCUGCUUCUUUCUGAUCCGAACUCUCACUGGUUUCUCCUUAUCAUUUAAUUUUUACUUUAAAUAUUUGCUCCCGCUCCUUCUUCGCGUCUCUCUCUGGUUGUUUAACACUCUGAUAAGUCAACGACUAAUGGCUCUAUUUGCAUGAAAUCUACUGCUGACACAAAAGAAACGCUGAUUUUGACCACCCUUGACCGCACAGCCAGACACAGCAGACCAAAAGAAGCAUACAUAACUCCACCUAUUAUCCGCUGCGAUGUUGACCAUAAAAAAAAGCAUCUCUACGUGGGGAGAUUAUUAAGGCCUUGGCGCGGGGGUCUGCACUCGAUUGAAGCUUUCCUUGUUCUUUCUGUUGCCUCUGGUCUUUCAUGUCUUGCCAAUCAGAUUGACCAAGGAUGCCAAAAAUAUCCCCCGGACUCAAUCCGAUGCUAUGCCAGAAAAACAUUGAUUCGUGUUUCAUCUUUAGCAGUGAUCUUUCUGUUUACACCCGUAACAACAUGUAAUUAUGACCAAAAAACAAGGCUCAAACAGAGUUUUGUUUCUCUUGGGCGUAAUUGACCGUCCAGGACUUGUUUUGUGAGGAUUCACUGUCCUGCUCUUGGCAAUCGAAAAUGUACUAAUCACAAAGUGCGCUGAUUAUUAUUCAUAGAGUUGAUGCCAUGUAAAACAGAGAGCCGAGACACCCAUGUUCAAAGCUGUCUGGGCUGAUUAGCAUGCUGGAGUUCUGCUGGCGUAUCCUGGGUGAGUCAUUACCGAAACGUCUCUAAUUGCACACUCGUCGAUUAAACCUGCUUUCUCAUUCACAGUGACCCUGACAAGUAGAUGAGUAAAGUUGAAGAGUUUGCUAUGUCUUUAUCCUCCUUUUUAACUCAUUUAUCCGAGUUGAAUUGUAAAGCGUGGAAAGUUCAUAAAGUUCCCAAGCUCUCUAUUUUAUGAAGAACAAACUUAUAAGAGGGUUCAAAUAUUGAAGUUAAAGCACCACUUCCAAUAAUUGGUCAUCUUUACGGACCAGAAGAAGGACAAAGGUUGCGGGAGGUUAUUCAGCUGGAUUCACAUUUUAAUAAAACUCAAGAAAACCCAGCGGAAAUGUCAGAGCGAACCCAAACAGCCACAUGUCUUCCCAUUUUGUCCCAGUAGCUAUCUUGUAAAACUUCUGGGGUGAGUGGAUGUCCGAAUUAAAACAGCAGGAAAAACUAAGAAAAAUUCCCCUCAAGAGACCAAAAUGACAGAAAACAGGGUGAAAAUACAAAUUAAUACAAAAAAUUAAGAGCGGAUGAACAAUUAUGCAUCCUCACCCUCAAAAGACGACACCAGACCAGCUUAUCUUAGGCCCUAAAAUGCCAGUCAUGUUUUGUCCAACACCAACCAAUCAGGGCUGUCGCUCUGUCUACUACUGAUGCGAGGCUCUACGACAUGAAUGUAAAUAAAUCUAUAUGGAGACGGGGUUCUUAUAAGCCUUUGUUUGCAUGACAACAUUAACCUGCAAAGCCGUUAAAAACUGGUGGUGCUAGCUCUGAUAGUGUUAGUCACGCUAGGCUAAACGUAGGUUUUAACCUACGAUAAUAUGUGAUAGAUAGAUAGAUAGAUAGAUAGAUAGAUAGAUAGAUAGAUAGAUAGAUAGAUAGAUUGACAGCCAGGUUUCAGUUAAGGACACUGUUAGCAAAAUAAAUUCUCAAUAGUGAAGAUUUACUGCUGUGAGGGGCGUGUACAAGCAUGCUACUUUAAAAAUUUGUGAGGUAGAGCUCCAUAGAAAUGUAUUCAUGCAAAGGGCUUUUGAUUAUUACGACGAUGGUAAAAAUCUAUCUGACUUCUCACCCCGACUUUCCUCAACAGAAUAAAGCAGGGCUUGACACGAUUUUUUUUCAGAAGGAACACAUGCUCCUAAGUUGAAUAAUAAGAAUUUAUCAAAUAAUGUGUCUUAUUGUCCGACAUCAGUACUAUUAUUUGAAAUCAACUUUAGGUCAAUUGGUCACAUGACACGGAAGCUAUUGAUAGAAAACAGCCUUUAAAUUUAACACAAAAAUCUUUAGAGGACAAAUUAGGGAAAUAAAGAGGUUUGUCUUAUCGUCUGACGUUAGUAAUAUUAUUUGAAAUCAAUUUUAGGUCAAUUGGUCACAUGACAUGGAAGCUAUUAAAGGAAAACAGCUUUUUCUGAGAAUAUCAACCGGUAAUUUAUUGAUGGUCCCUUAUUCAACACCCGAUGUUGACAGCAAGGGUGCAGAGUAGAUUUAACCAUGCUGCUAACAGUAUUCCCAGUUAUGGAGAGUGAGAAGACACCGGUAGAUCCGCAGUGAAUGUCCGUCGAAUAUCCAAUCAAAUAUCCAACCAUUUACAUGAAAACAUUUUGUCACCUCGGCUAAUUUUUUUAAGCGCACAUGUGCCCCUAAAUACGUUCUACAAUUCACACACAUCUAUUUUUAGACACAAAUGCGAAACGGUCGCACUGUCGAGCCUUGUAAUGUAUCACUUUUUAUGAAUAUUACCUGUAGAGAAAGUUUAAAGCUGUUUUUUGGGAUUGUCAAUCUUGUUGCUACAAGUCUUGUUUAAGUCAUUAAGAGACAUCACCGUCAUUAUCAGUCCAUUUUCAGAGCUUGAAAGACUCCUCACUGGAGCUCUAAGAAUGGAAAACUACAUAAAAACGACGGUAAAGUCUCUGAAUUACACUUGAUUUCUAAAUAACACCUUUGACAUGUAUGGCACAUUCGCUUCAAACACAAUCGCCACUCUUUCUCCUGCAAUUAAUGUGUUGAAUUUCCUGCAAAGACCUGUUUUGGAAAGCUGGUCUUUGUAACCACAUGAGAAAUGACGCAUAAAAAAAAAACAAUAUGUAAAAAGAACUGAACAGACGCCGUGUUUGAACACGCACUUGACCAAGCUGCCUCUGAGUCAGAGUAAGAGAAACUUACUCUGAUUCAAGAGCUGUGAAUCAGAUUUAAGUGCAGUGUGCUCCACUAAAAAGGUACUUAAAAGUAGAUGUUUUUGGAAACGGGGACAAACCGUGCUGUAACCGAGUUUUUCUCCGCAUGAGUCCCUGUUGGCAGCUCCUCACAGAUGUAGAAUCAGAGAGAUGACUGCGAUGGUUUUAUUCUAUAUGUGUGCAGCCUUGAGUUAAGAUUGGGCGGUUUGGCGAAACAUAAAAGCUGAGCAGACUUUCAAUUAAAAUGUAGUAAAAAAAAAAAAUAAUGCGUGUAAUUGCUCACUGACAACUUGAACUGCGUGGGACUCCUGGGUGGAGGUUAAAGAGUAACACGGGUCAGCGAGGCUCGGCUGGUAAUUGAUUGGGCUGAGGCCGGAGCUGCAACAUUCCUGUCCGAGUUGCACGCUGCUGGAGCAACGAGAGGCGGGUCGGAAAUCACUAAUAAAAGGUCUGGGUCAAGCUACUGGGAGCUGACUACAUGAAACAUAUACAGACUGGCUGCGGGGAAGGGGAUCAAUAAGAGAAGAAAAGGGGGCUACAUAUAAAAUACAGAGCGGUGUACUCCGUCCUCGUGAAACAAGGACGACAAUCUUUGCAAUUUGUUAAGUGCAUGUUUGCUAUUUUUCAUUCAUGCAACAAAAAAACUCCCUCUCAUCCAUCACAGCGCUACAGGCAGGUUUAAAAAACACCACCAUGUUUAACUUCAGCCGCAAAUUAGCCCAACUGAUCAAAAAUGCACUCCUGUAGUUCACAGGACGGCAUAAAAACAGCUGUGGAGACACUCAAACCCCCUCCGACAGCUGUUUUUGAUUGAUUUCUCAUUUGUCCCAGAUAUUUCGUUUUAUUCCCUUCUCUGUGUUUAAAAGAUUAAACAACAUUUCCUUUUUUUAAUCUUUCUUUUGGUGUCUUUCCUUUUUUUUGAAACUUUUCUGUGUUUACAACCGCCUAAGCAGAGAGAUGACAGCGAGCGACUCAGCUGUCCUAUUUUUUUUUUUUGUUCCAAUAAAAUGUUUUAAUUUAACUUCCCUCAUUAGCGAAGCAUCGGGGUGAUAAAUAAACGUGGCUCGCUCGACACAAGAGUAAUUUACAUGAGGAUAUUAAUAGAUUCAUCAUUCAGGCUUAAGCACAUCAAUUAUGAAAGGCCUGUAACCUGAGAAAAGUAUAAAAAAGCCCCAUUGAAAUGAUGAUGAGAAAUAUAAUUAGUUACAGCUGAGGCAAAACAAACACAUUAACAAUAGGUUAUAAACACUGAAUAAUUAAAUCAAAAUGUGUAUAAAUAAAUAUGCUUAUUUAUGGACAUGAUGUUUCAGAAGCACUCAGAAUAAUUAGUCGCUGCUUUCUAGAGUUUGAGAUUAAUCGUAAAGUGCACAUUGGGGAUUUCACAUGUUUCACCGGGUCAUGUUCUGUUUGCACAACCACUUCGCUGAUUAUCAAUGAUGGAUUCAUAAAGUAGAUCAUGAUCCAGAUCCAAACCGUCCAAACCUGAACCUGGUGUCCGAGGAGAUCGAUCAUGCUGAUUGGUUCUUUAAUACAUACAUAGAAGUGAUGGUGUAAUUUCUGGCUUUUUUGGAGGCUUGACCACAACCCAAUGAGGGGUCGACCAAUAUCGUUUUUUCAGGGCUGACACAGAUAUUGAUUAUUAGACCAUGAGGCUGAUGGCUGACACUUGGAACUGAUGUAAAAAAAGACAGUAAGAGAAAGAAAAAGUGGCGAAAGGAGGGAAAGACAGACUGGCGGUAAUUAGUAAUUAAUUUUGCUGGUGUUCUGUAAAAUAAAACACUAUACAGAUAGCUCAUGUAUGCUAAUGUGGCUAAAUGAUAAGCUAUCUGGGUGCUAACAGCUAGCCUAAGAUGUUGUUUGUAAAGGCAUAACAGUUUCACUGACUUCAUAGCUGUGUAAAAAGUAACACCAACAAGCUGUGUCUGACUAAGACAGAUAGAUAGAUAGAUGGAUGGAUGGAUGGAUGGAUGGAUGGAUGGAUGGAUGGAUGGAUGGAUGGAUGGAUGGAUGGAUGGAUGGAUGGAUGGAUGGAUGGAUGGAUAGAUAGAUAGAUAGAUAGAUAGAUAGAUAGAUAGAUAGAUAGAUAGAUAGAUAGAUAGAUAGAUAGAUAGAUAGAUAGAUAGAUAGAUAGAUGGAUAGAUGGAUAGAUAGAUAGAUAGAUACCACUUACAGAUCCAAAUGUCAAUAAAAGAUUCAGGAAACAUGGACCAAUCUUUGUUAACCCACUAAGACCUGAACCCUGUCUGAGACACGCCUCUGAAAUCCUGAGGGCCAUUUUGAGAAGGGCCCCCAGAUCCUGAGGUUUUCUGAAGUGCUCAUAAAAAAGCUGAUAUCUCGGCCUCUGUGGUUGAUAGAAACAAAAUUCAAGAAGUAUUUAAGAGCUUACACGUGUGGCUUUCAAGAUCACUAUCUUUUAUUUUUCAGAACCUUCAUCAGAUUAUUGAAAACCUUGAACAAACAAACUCAAAUGAAAUAAAGCAGCUGUUUAAAUAAAACUGAAGGCUCUGCACUGGAGAAUAACAAACUAUUUGCAGUCAUGAUAAAGUGUCCAUCUAAUAGAAGUGUAAAUAUAAAAAUAAAGUGUUGAAAGGGUAUACAGCUGCUCCACUGGCCACUGAAGCAGGAGAAGUAGAGGGACAAUACUACUACCUUCGCUAAGGCUGGAUGCUUCACCUCUGAAGCUGCUCUCUGCCUCCGUCAUUGUCUACCUUUCUCACAAAGCACGUAGCAAGAUCCGAGCAUGAAUCUGAGUGCUUUAUCAAGCUUUAUUAGUCUAUCAGAGGCAGACAGGUAUGAUGAUUUGAUUCGCCAAUGACUCCAGGAUUGACUGAAAAACUACAGAAUGUUACAUAAUGACGUAUCCACGCUCCCGGCUUGGAAGGUUGAAAUCUGUUCAUGCCGCCCCGGUUUAAAUGAAUUAAAUGGGAUUGCAGACAUCGCUCUGUGGUGGAAAUCCCCACAUAAGCUCUUUUUUUUGCUCCCUAUACAAUAAGUUUACAGUUUAAAUGAUUUCUGUUAAAAUUUACAGGGCAUCGAAAUCUUUUCAGAGAAGUUUUGCACUGAAUCAUUUUUCAAUUUAGUCAUUAUGAAGUGUCAAACCUGUUCUUGAAGACACUUUCUCUCCCUGGACCCGUUGAAACUUUAAUUGAACACUCCUGUUCUAUUGAUUUCAAACUAGUGUAACUAUCCAAAGCAAUUCUACAGGAGAGUAGAAUCAAGCCGGCGAAAUCUUAAACCGUCUCUGAUUGUUAUUCAAUCUUCCAUAUUGUAUUUUAUUCUGUUAUCUCCGAAAACCAAUAGACUCUGCAACUCCACGGGCAAAGUAAUUUGUGGGUUUAACAAAGCGAUUAUGACAGUCAGCAGAAAGUCCACGGCGGCAGAUUUUUAUCUUCACCAAAAGAUAGUGAGGACUUCAUGAUCACUGCUUGCAGUUGCACAGAACUCGCUGUCCAAGCAGCUGUAACAAGAAGAUUUACAUUUCAAAAGCAUGUCUCUUCAAACCGUGUUUAACCCGGAGCCCCUAAAACAGCAAUCCAAGCAGGAAUCCAACUUCCCCCCUUUAUUUUUUCCCUCCUCAUGAAAUACAGCUGCUGUGUUAAGGUGGGAUUUCUACUGCAUUCCACCCAGUCAAUGAAUAAACUGAAGGAACACCUGAGUAAAUUUGGCAAAGAAGAGCUUUUCCAGAUCAGGAGCUGCUCGAGAGAUUAGCUAUGUUUGGAGAGAAAACACAAAUGCACCAACAGGAAACAUCUGUGUCAGGGAGUUGUGACCUCCUGAACAUGAGGGGCCGCGAUCCCAAGCGGCGCAGACGGGCCGUGUGUGGUAAGUGAGGCCUUGGGCUCACUGGGAGAACCGCUUGGCCUUGGGAGUGAGGGGGAAAACCUCCAUCAAGGGUAUCAGGUGACUGAAGUGUGAGGGAAUGAGGACUGGGCUGGGGGGACGGCUCAUGAAGGAAUAGCUGUGGAACCGUGGAGGAAUGAGAAGCAGGAUGGAGGAAUGGAUCAUUGGGUUAGAGUGGGUUAUGGUUUGUGGGUAUAUUGGAACGACAUAAAUGCAUCUGAUGACAGUGAAGGGUCUGGAAUUCGCAGCCUAUGAAAGAAGUCACGCAGACUAUGUAUGUAAAAUGAGACGGCCUUUGUGUGAGAGCGAUUAUGGGAUCAUAUAGGGUGCACAGAUCAGACAUGGAAGAGCCACAAUAAUGCUCCAGCUGUUGCCGCAGGAAUAGGCUGUGGAUGAUGAGCGCAAGCUGCUCCAGGCUGGUGAGAUGGGCCUUAAAAUAUACCAGAGAUGGAUACAUAUAACUGCGGAACCAUAGAAUAAUAAACCAGUACCCAACCAGAAAUAAUCGACAUUACACACAUUCAUGUUUUCGUUUUUUAGCUUAUUUUCUAACAGGGGUGUUUAGGAAUUUCUGUGAUUUUGAACGAUUAUAUAUACUUACUAAUCAACUCAUCAAAAGGCAAGAAAACCCUCUCAGAGUAGUCAAAAUUUAGCUUAAAAUGAGUGUAUAUGGCUAAAAUAAACAUGUGCUGGUUCCUCAGAUUGGGUGAGUCAGACACAGUCUACACAUGACCUUUCUCCAACCUUUAGACCAAAACACCGCCAAUCCACGACAUGCAGCACGACUACAUACUACUUACAUUUGUAGCAUUACUGAAGAAGACAUUAACCGGAGCUUCAGACCCAGUUGUGAGACAACACAAUAGCAAUCAACCAAGGUAGGCCAAUGAAUAAUGCUGAUUUUAUAUUGUUUUAAUCAAAGUGGCAAAAUGUAACAAGUUGAAAAUAAAUGACCAACAUACCUGCUGAACUUAACCAACAUUUAAUUACUAUUAUUGGCUUUUCCUUGUUAAGGUUUAGUUAAAUAUUGCCACAGAGGACUUAUGGGUUUCUGUCUGGACAUCUGUGGUAUGUAUAAGAAAAAAAUACUAGAUGAAUAUUUGUUUAUCUUCUAUUAUUCAGUAGAAAUGUUCCGAUACCAGUAUCCGAAAUUGCUCCCAUACUGCCGAAAAUGCUGGCAUCGGUACUGGAGAGUAUGUAAUCCAGGCACUGAUCUAAUACCAUGUCAUUUAUUAAAUUGGUAAUUUAUUAAGGUAAUUCCCUUUUUAUUUAAAAAUAUUGUGGCUGCACUUUAAUUUUUAAAAAAUAAUCAAUCCUAGAUUUAUUUGGUUAAAUUGCAUUUGCUGUUUUUAUACUGUUCUCUUAAAAAUAAAUGGCUUGAAUUUGCUAUAUUCAUUUGUGUUUUACAAAGGGUUAAACCUGAGCCAGACCUUACCGCAAUCAUAAUAUUAUUCUUAUAACAUACUGGUAUCAGAUUGGUACUCGAUAUCGGCCGAUACCCACAGCACAAGUAUCAGAAUCGGUGUUGGGAGGGCAAAAAUGGUAUCAGAACAUCUGUAUUAUUCAAUGCAUGUAACAGUCUAAUAUGCAUGCAUGUCUUAACCAGUUGCAUUUUUUAGACCUACUUUUAAUUAAUGCAAUUUUACAAACUGGCCCUGGCCAAUUCAGGUGCAAACUGGCCAGGGUUUUGAUAUUUAAUGGUUUAAUUAACCCGGUGCCCACAUGCCCUUGUUUUAAGUGUUCUCUGCUGACCAUGCUGUAUUACCUGUAUAAGUUCCCCACAACUAAUCAACUCCGAGUUUCCUAAAGAAGUUCCUCCGGCUUAUUAUCGGCGACACAUUCGCUGUGGCCUUAAGACAUGAAGACUGGUAAAUCAGUUUGAGAGAGUGAGGAAGAAAUGCUGCUGGUGCUGUUACAAGAAGACAUUUUCAUAGCUUCAAGUUCCACCCGCAGGACCUUGUACUUUCCGAAAUUACACAUUCCCUUCUUAACAGGAUGUCUUUGGGUGGUAGAAUAAAAUAAGCCAUCUUUGGAGUUUUAUUCAAACCCUGGUUGCCAUGGAGGAAAGUACUGAGUAUUCUUGCCCCCUGAGUUCACUGGUGAUUGAAAUCCAUUUUUAAUGGCGUCCAUGUCGUUCCCACGGAAUAUCGUAAGCAUCUCAGCACAAAGAAGUCAAAAAUCAGCCUCCGAAGCUCUGGAGCGUCUCCCAAGAGCAUCUAAAUACAGCGUUAGUCUCAGGGGAGCCGCCUUCUGGGAGACACCCCACCCCCAGGAUCCCUGGGAUCAUCCAUCCUGCCUCAGAACCCAGAUGGCACAUGAUGCCACACGAGGCCCGAUGUUGACACUCAUGAAGUGGGCCAGAGCGGUCCCCAGAGGUCCAGCUGCCUUCUCAUACAGUAUGGACACGUCUCUUCUGAGCGUCCUCUGUCACGGCUCAGACCCCGGUGUUUAGACAGAGAGGGUUAAGGCCUGUGCUGUACGAUAAGUGACCUACUCAAGGAAAGGACGGCACUGGAAAACCGGAUUUCCAAUAAACUGAGGUGAUAGAAUACAGAAUCAAAUAUGUGACCGAGGUACCACGGAAAUUGUGCCCCCGUGGAGAGAAUUAUAUGUACAGGGAGGGAGGGGCAAGUGGGGGGUGAAGAGAAAGACGAGGCAGAGUAAAAAUUGGUAACCUCUCGUGGAAGUGCCACGGAAAAAUAAUACAUUGAGAAUAAGUGAUUUCUGCCUCGUGUAAAUUCCAGGUGACGGGAGCUCAUUUUCGUCCCCAGGAGCCUAUGAAUUCAUAAUGCCUCGCACGUGCGCUUCAAGAUGUCAAGAAAUGUGAGAGGAAAAUAGCCAAUUUCAGCCAAUACUACCCUUCUGCAGACACGGUCUUUAUCUCUGCCUAUCCCUCGCUCUCGCACACACACCUGACACAACCACCGAUGUCUGCAAAUUCUUCCUUCUACGUUUUGAAAAAGGUGCCUCAAGUCGACAUACGCUUUAAUUCCUUUCUCGGGAUUGGGAUGGCAUUUACAAUUCAAGUUUUAAGUGGCUUUUUAUCAGACGGAGUCGGCACUCUAAUUCUUGGUAGUUUUUUAAAAGUUGUCUGUGCUGUCAGGUGCAGAGUGUGCGCCUGUCUUUGGUUUAAAAAAAAAAAAAAGGGGGAACCUGGAGUUCACUCAUCAAGCAUUUUCUAGGAUAAGCAUGCUGGGAAACAGUCUACUUAAUUCUCUUUUUACAUCAUCAAUCUCCCUGACUUCUCUCGCCUGAUGUUUUUCUCUCUCUUCCCUGUCACUUUCAUCUGUGCCCUCCAUCUUUCUCGCUCCUCCUAGAUGCUCUUGCAUGGGUGAACAGCUGGUACAACUCUGCGUGCGUGUGUUUGUGUUUGUGUGCAUUUCUCUCACUCUCACUAGGUUCAUUUUAAGAAAGUGAUCGGUGAACGACGAGAGGAAGGCUCACAUGUGGAUACAGUAAAUAUGUUGAAACAUCUCAUGUGCCCCAGAGUGUCUCGUGUCUCCGGGGACAUGCUCUCCUCCCUCCGCCGCUCUAUUCAACAGAGCCUUGCAAAUGCGGCUGUCACUCCUGAUCUACUUCCAGCGGAGGGGGAGCUCUCUCUUUUCUCUGACACGCUGUUAUGCUUAAAUUCCUUCUUUUAAAUACCUACAGUCACAAAAGCGGGGCCACCGACUUGCACCAAAGCCAUCCGAGCGGGCUGGUUGUAAAACACAGGCUGCGGAGGGUUUUUUAUGUCAAGCUGUUUGAUAUUCAACAAGGUGAAUUUUAAUACUACAAAAUCUAGGUUAUGAGAUGCGUGUCUGAGCGGAGGGUGAAAUGUGGAGAGGCUUUAAAACCCUCAUGUUCUUCCAUGUAGAGCUCACGCUCCGAGGACUUGUAAAAUAAGCAAAGUGAGAGUUUACACAAGAGAAAGUGCAGCGGUGCAAAGCCCUCUCCAUCCUCCUUUCUGCCCACUGUGAGCUAGCAUGGAGGACCACACCCAGUCCAGCGCCAGACAGGCAGUCUGCCCCGACUUUGUGGUCGAGCUGCCUGACUAUAUAUGGAGAUGAAAUAGCAGGGUUGAGCCUUCACCCCCUUGUAAGGCCUUUUGGGACCGAGGCCUCAAAACCUAACCGAAACCUUAAAACAGCUUGUUAAAGCCACUUCCUCUAAGCCCAGAUGAUUACAGUCCAGAACAAUGCAACAAUGCAAAACCAGGAAUGAAGACGCUCCUAUACUUAGACUCGUCUCCCGCCUUCUUCUCCACUUCCUUUUGUCAUUUAUAUAUCAUAAAAAAGAAACUGAAAUCCACCCCAAACAUAAACGGAUUCCUGCAGAAUCACAUCUCUGCUUCGCUACAGGAGCUAGUGUUUUGGGGGUAUUAUUGAGCUAAUCGGCGGAUCAGCGGAGUCAGCAUAUGAAUUCAGCUCCUCAAAUCAGUUUACAGUGAUGAAUGGCCUUCAUUUAGCCCCACAGCUGGCGUUGUUCUGAGCGCCGUCCCUGUUUUUGUUUGCCUCUGCGGUUGGAAAGUUGUUUUCUACCACGCAGUGGGCUGGAGAUGCGACAAGGAGCUGAGGAGAGGCUUUAAAUCCGGUGACGAGGCAAAGAGUUUCCUGCAGAGUCAUCCAAGUACUGAUACCAGUAAUAGGACACUAAAGCCAGUAUAAUUAUCAGUUCUAGAACUGCCCUAAUGUGAAGUAAGCUAUCAAUGCACCAAUUAGUUGUUGUGAUUGACAGAAAUAUUAGGCAAUGGGCAAACGGUAAAUGAUGUCAAGAGAGUCUGACUGAGGACCUCCACUGUGAAGACCUCACUUUCACUGAGUGGACCGGAAGUUGAUUUAAGGCCUUUCAAAAUAAAAGCAGAUAUAUACACUGAAUAGUCUAGCUGAACACUUCCACUGUGGGGACCCAUCUACAGCGAGCAGACCAGAAGUUGAUUUAAAGCCUUUCAAAAUAAAAGCAAAUAUACUUGGAUUACAUUUUGUUGUUGUUGUUGUUGUUUAGAUCGGGAGUUAAUUUGAAGCCUUUUCAAAAUAAAGGCAAAUAAACCGGGAUUACGUUUUGUUGUUGUUGUUUACAUUGGAAGUUGAUUUGAAGCAUUUCAAAAUAAAAGCAAAAUUACCUGGAUUAUUAUUAUUUUUUUAUUGUUGGAAGUUGAUUCCAAGCCUUUCAAAAUAAAAGCAAAAAUACCAGUUAUUAUUAUUUGUUUUAAUCAUUGGAAAUUGAUUCAAAGCCUUUCAAAAUAAAAGCAAGUAUACUUGGAGUACUUUUUUUUUGUUUACAUCGGAAGUUGAUUCAAUGCCUUUCAAAAUAAAAGCAAAUAUACCCAGAGUACUUUUUUUUUGUUUACGUCAGAAGUUGAUUCAAAGCCUUUCAGAAUAAAGGCUUAUAUACCUGGAGUAUCUUUCUAUCCUUUUUUUGUGUCAGAAGUUGAUUCAAAGCUUUUCAAAUUAAAAGCGAUUAGACCAGGAAGUACAUAUUUUUUGACUGGUGUGCAAACGUUUUAUUUCUUGGGGCUUUAUUUUAUGUAUAUGAUGUUUAUAUGAUUUUUGGUUUAUUUUUGUGUUCAACAAAGAGAAAAUACAAAACACGUGGGAAAAAACAUCACCCCAGGUCCUCACAAUGGAGGUGGGUCCUGACAAUGAAGGUCUGCAGACAGACCUCUCUCAAUACUGUUGAUCACAAGAUACAUCCUAAGAUCUACCAGAAUAGAUCAUGAUAUCAAUUUUUGAAGAUUACUGUUUUUUCCAGGUUUUGAAAAAUUGUUUCCAGGUCCUUAAAAUGGGUCUUUAUCUGUAAUUCCAACCGCAGCUACAUAAUGUCAAACCAGACUUUAUGAACUGUCAAGGGCGAACACAGAGCGCUCUGUAAAACAGAGCCAGCGGCCCACCUGAGGCCUGCAAAAGCGAACAACUCCUUGGUUAUUGGUGGUCUGGCAGCUACAGGUAGAAAUAUGUGUGGCCUGAAGGGUCCACCAGAGCUGAACUGCCUACACAUCUUCACGAACGUUAUGACAGCCGGCGCCGAGGAGCUGAGAAGCUUAAAGUUAACAAGCCAGAAUAAGAGCGCACUCUUGUCUGAGCCUGGCGAGACAUUACACCCGUGAUUAGGAUCCCCAUGCAAAUGACAAAGCUGAAGUGAAGAAAGCCUCCACACUUGAUUGAACGGUGUCUGCACCCCUCAGAAAGAAGGCGCUCUGAUGCUUAUCAGAAGGCAUUUUGUUGGAUUCCCGCUGCAGUCAGCUGUUUCUCUUGGCUGUUUAUCUGUCAAUAAUGAGAGGCUCGGCAGCCGCAAUCACAGGGACAUACAAGAGGUCUUUGUUAGCUGGAUCGGGCUGAAUCACAUUGGGGAUUUUCAUAAAAGCCUUUGACAUCUGGACCAGUGGCAGCAGGCCUUUGUCGGUGUUUCCAAUUUGAGUAAUGGGCCUCAACAUUGUUCCAGAACGGCACCGAGCGAGCGUGGGGCUUAUUCUGUUUAAUAUGCAGCUAGAAACCGAUGAUUCAACCCGCUCGUAAACUGUUUGGCCCUCAUUAGAGCCGGGGAAUUCGCUUCGUAUCUGCUUAUGCAUAAGUGGCGUUUUAAAUUACGUCACCAGCUCCACAGUCUGCGACGCUGCCAUCACUGAUUUAAACGUGCAUUUUGCUUCCUGCACACACAUAUGAUGACUUUAUUCCCAGCAUCAUGGAGGUUUGAUUCCUCUAACACCAACACAGCCACUGUGAGGAAAAGAGUGUAAUGGAGUUAUAUGUACCCGAUAAAAACUAGACUACAUCCUGGUGCGAGCCGAGCAGCAGCAAGCAGAACUCAUCAAAGCGGGGACGUGAGCGAAUGUGCUGAAAUGAGCGGCUCAUUUUGGGAACGAGAUGCAGCAUCCAGAGCCUCCGACAAUUAAAGGCAUGGAUGACGAUUGGAGAGAUUGGUAAUUAUUAUGAACCUCGUUUCUAUGGCGAUCAUGGUCCUAGAGUGGGAUCUCCACAUAGUGAAGAGAAAAACGAUUGGAAGAAAUCUGUUCAUGAAAGCAGGUGCAGGGCUGCAAAAACAUUGACCAAUGGGAGCCAUCGGUCCUGGUCAAUCUCCUGCUCCGCCUCUCCAUCCAAUCACUUCGCUGCAUUCGACACAUCCCUCUCCUGUAGUUCCGACUUGUCCCCUCCCACUCUCCCGGCCCUCCUCGGAGCUCUGAGCAGCUAAAAGUAGCGUAGCAGCUAGGCUACAGGAGCUGUGAUGGAGUAGGACGCUUUUUUUCAGAUCUGCCUCGACGGCUGAGUUUUUUCAACUGCUUCUCAGAUGGUCAACCAUGCCUUUAAGAGGUACAGUAAGUAACAGUGCUGAUGAAACCAGAUCUUUGAUGAACAAAUCAGGAUGGAUUCAGAUCAUGUUACUUUUGUAGGUCUCAAAGACGCAUCAAAAUAAGUUUUACUCAUGUAAUUUCUGACCGACUCCUGCAUGUUUUCAACAGUAACUCACCGCACAACAGAAAUAGAGAAGCAGGAGUGAAAUGGAAAUCCAGAUUAAAAACCCACUCUAAUUAAAAUCAUGUUUUCUUGUUGUCUACGUGUUCAUAUGGCAUUUUUCUGAUGCUACAGGACAUAUCAUGAAAAAAAAUAAGUGCAAAACCACAUUUCUGAGUAUUCCUGCAUUCAAAUCACCAUGAACCUCUCACAGACCCAAACGUCGGGUUCAGAAACAGUGAGAUUUCAUACAUCACAAAUCCAAGCUCCGCCCCCGGGGCCGUGCUAUGCAGGCCAGACUCGUAAAAGUAGAGAGGACGAUCACAGAACAAGUGUUGCAAUGCUACUACAAAAGCUAAUUAAGCUAAUAUUAGCUUCCAUCAUGUCCUUAAAGACAUCAGUGUCGAAGAGCUGAAUAGCUUCAAUGUUACCAACCACUCCUGCUGCACAAGCAAUGUUAGGCUGCAAGCUAGUGUUAAGACAAGUGUGCAGUGCAGCGCAAUCUCUGCCCACGACUCAGAGGCGAAUUACUGAUGAUCUACUGGAGCUUUGCAGAAGAGAAGGCCUUGGAAAUCAAACAGGUAACGAGGUUUUGGCUAAAAACUUCAUAAUCACAGUUUAAAGAUCACUGAGGACACUUUAAUAAUAGAAAAAAGGAAUGGAGUGGGAUUUUAAAGAGGUAGGGACUACAAUGCAUGAACACAUUUUCGAGUCACCUCGUCCACUUCUGAAUGAAUCAAAUUUUCAAGGUCUCCUGUGGAUUGUGACUCUUUGAAGCUGCGUUUCGAGUAGUUGGAUGGACACAUCUUCUACCUGGGCUGGUGAAUGUCUUGGAGAGCUACACAUCUCUUUUUAGACCGUCGAUGUCUGAGUUAACGUUCAGCUUCAGACCUUGGUUUCUAAUCUUGUCGACCUUUUAGUCAUUCAUAAAAAAAACUCCUGACAUUGAGGUUUCAAGUACGCAGCUGCACUGCCUUCAAACCAAAGUUACUUUUGCUUUAAAAAAAGAAAAGUUUCAAGCAGGUUAUUUAAGCUAAAAGUCCAGAGAAAAUUCGCUUUUACAUCCCAGUGAAGAGCUGCUAUCUAUAGAGCCUCAUUGCAUCAGAUUGAAAAGGUAAACCCGUCUCCCUCAGUCUUGAGCAUUUGUUUCUUUUCCCCUCUUUGCUGACCAUCUGCCAUGUGCACAAACACUGUACCGCCCACGAGCUCGCACAUUAAAUCUGAUACAUACGCAUUUCACACCUCUGCUGCAGCAAGAUGCAGCAACACCGCUUCCCCCGUUACAAGGUCCACUAGUUUUAUUCCACUCGGGCGCUUAAUCGCUCAUCACUGUGGUCGUUGGGGUGUUAAGCUGUCCCAUCACCGCUGCGUCUGAGGCAGAGCCACUAAUUGAAAGGUAUCACUUAAUGCUGCUCGGUUUAGCACUCAAGGGCUGGAAAUAUCCCCUUCACAGGCUGUUUUAAAACGACAAGAUUGAACGGGGUCAUGCGGCUUAUUGCUUCGAUAGAUCAGUGUCGCAAAUUUAACGCUACUUUACAUGUAAAUAAUACUCCGCUUCUCCAAAAAAGAGCGCAAAUAUGUCAAGGCUUGACACCGCUGAAUAAAGGCAAUUUAAGUGAGGUUCAAGUGCAGCUACCUCAGUAAGGGCCUGUCUCCACUGACAGCAUUUUCUGCACUGGCAGCACCCAUGACCCCAAUUUCAGAGCACUUUCAAGGCGCUUUCUUUCUGCUAGGUUUCAAGUUCCUCUGCUCUACUUUCUCUCCUCUUAGCAAAGACCCUGAAGUCUGUUAAAAAUCGCUCUGCAUGCUUCAUAGUCGCUGUUAUCUGGUAGAAACUCAACCUGUGAAUAAAAUCGAAUCCUAUCAACAGCAGCACCUGAAAAUCCAACUUGAAAACCAACAGUGGAUGAUAAACCCUUUGUGUGAACCUCUGUCAUUUUUAUUCACAAGGCGGAAUAAUAGAAGUCCUGUUACUUCUUGAUUAUAAUUUGUCGGUGAAAGUUGAAUUUUUUUCAACCAAAAGCAACUAAAAAUACCUGAAGCUGAGGGUGAUUUUUGCUUUUAGGACCUUUCGCUCAGAAAACACUCAACUGCACAGGGUUUUGUGUGAAGAUUUAUAUCUGAUUAGGGGUGUCCC